Molecule: ribosomal RNA, 253 nt
Filed under: uncultured bacterium
Lineage: Bacteria
Description: partial 16S ribosomal RNA
Rfam family: Bacterial small subunit ribosomal RNA
Source: RNAcentral
UACGAAGGGAGCAAGCGUUGUUCGGAAUUACUGGGCGUAAAGGGCGCGUAGGCGGAUUGAUAUGUUAGGUGUGAAAAACCUGGGCUUAACCUAGGAACUGCACUUAAAACUAUUGAUCUAGAGUACUGGAGGGGAUGAUGGAAUUCCUAGUGUAGAGGUGAAAUUCGUAGAUAUUAGGAAGAACACCAGUGGCGAAGGCGGUCAUCUGGACAGUAACUGACGCUGAGGCGCGAAAGCGUGGGGAGCAAACAGG